Nematostella vectensis (starlet sea anemone) is the source of this 4282-nucleotide long non-coding RNA. RefSeq lists it as uncharacterized. Lineage: Eukaryota; Metazoa; Cnidaria; Anthozoa; Actiniaria; Edwardsiidae. The transcript has 2 exons. The record is from RefSeq and is a predicted model, not a curated record.
CACCACCACCACCACCACCACCUUAGAGAAAUACCGGCCUACUCACGAUAUAUCACGAUAUGGACUUUCCAGCCAAAACAAUAUCAUAUCUGAGCACGUUACUUAUAACUCACUAAGUAAACGAAGCCUUUUUCGUUACGCAAUGCAACCUUGAAGAGGCUAGUUCUAAUGAGAAAUAGCGGAAGCCUAUUUCCUUAUUCAACCACAUUUUUGUUAUUUUAUUUAUUCAAUAUUGAAAGGCAGGUUAUGUGAUGAGAUCUCAAAAUAACCAUAAAAAAUAAAGUUCUAUAUACUUUAUUGACUAAAUUCACAAAACAAAACUAUCAUAAUCUUCCUCAAAUAAACCGAUGGAAAUAGAUGCUUCCGCAAACAAAAGACAAGCACUGCUUCUUCUGAAUUCAACUUUACACAUUGAGUAACACCGUAGCUUUUUAUCAUGUUAAUUAUGAAGAUUUAUAUUUUAUGAGUAGCAUGCAUAUGACCGUGUCUUGCCUCUUAAUUAAAUCUACUUUGGCGUUUAUUGCGUUUUCGAGGAAACUACCGCGAAUGGACGCCGUAAACACACAUUAGCUUCUUGUAUUUGUAACUGCAAGACUAUACGAUUAGCGAGAGGGUGCUCCACAGUGACUAGGUGGGUAUUUUAAAAGGGUGCAACUUUGGUAAAAAAAGAAUUAAAACUUAAAAAAGGUCGAAACCCUGUCGAGAACCGUACUUGCCCUUAAAAAUGUCGAAAAUAAUUUUGUGAGCUCUAACUACGAUCAACUAGAGGAUGCACGAGUCUAUGCCAACCGAAAAGGCCGAGUGUAAGUCAAACUGAGCAUUUUUUUUUUUCAAACACGAUGUUACUGUUAUUUCUUAAUGCAAUAUUUUUAUUCAAACAAAUUUGCGGGGAGCUAUGUUCGUUAUGAUGUGUUGCGAAGCCGCAUAUUGAGAUAACGUGAACCGAAAUUAGGAAACUCCAAAUAAAAUAGGAGCGGCUGCCCUCCGGCCAUAUAAUGAAGAAUCUUGAGUGCGACAUGUCACGAAAAUGCUGAGGAAAAUAAGAGUACGGAAAAGCUUUUUUAAAUCAUGGGCAAUGUCAGAAACCAAUCGUACACCAAAAAAGUUGUGAAUUGUAAGAGCUUUUGUGUAGCUUCAAGCUGUAUUUUAAGUGAGGGCUUAGUUAUUGUUGUAGAGAACGGAUUUUUUUUGCGUGAAAUCUUACUUUUGAUGGUGUUACAUGCAACGCAUGAGCAACGAAAAAGACUCGUGUUAAUGGAAACAAUAGUUAUUCUUGUUGAAUUAGCUCACAAUUAAGCAAACAAUAUCAUCAACGUAUUAUGGCUCCAGUCUUCAUAGAAAACUGGAAAAGCGCCACGUCAGUUUAUAGCCACUCUCUUGUAAAUUUGCAGACAGAGAGGUUGUUAAUAAUAUAUAUUAAAAAGGACUCUUUUGAGAUGCGAGCUUCGGUACAUUAAUCAUUGUAAAGCGUUAGGGUCAAGGCUGCUGUCCUUGUGGUUAUAUUCCCACCAAGCGUCAAUCUACCUUUUAGCGAAGAUUUCAUUUUUUGGAUUCCCCGUGGAGAUAGCACUUUUUAAUUUCUUAAGAAAUUAUACAUGUCAGAGGAUGGAAGUAAUCUUUGUCUGUAAACUUUUAAUCUUUGAACUUAAGAAGUUUACCCAAUAGGAUUUUCCAGGAGUGUUUAUUCUUUCUAAGAUAUUCGGCUCAAAACUGCGAAACAAUGUUUGUGGGCAAUUAAUGAUUGGGGGGAAAUAAAUGUAUGCCAUUUAUCUAAGACAGAACAUAGAAAAUCUACUAACAGAUAAGCAUCAAACAGCCAGUCAUUCUAAAAACAUCCAGCGUAGUGGAAAAAUGCUUGCUAUAUAAAUGAAGGUUGAAUAUAUUUAGAAAUGAAAAAAUAAAAUAAAGUAAAAAAUGAACUGCUAUCUGUAGGGAAAAGGCCGAAAUACUUUUCCAUCUUCCUACUAUAUCCAGUUAAAAGUGUUUGUCCAUGACCGCUGACAAAAUUACGAUCUUAUAUUUUGGUGACGAAAUCACCACUCCCGUAUUUAUCACUGUUGGGAAGACUAACAUUAUCAUUGAUCUUAAAUGGGGGGCCCUUAAAUGGCCAGUCCACCUCUUUGAUGCCUACAUAAUGCAUUCCGGAAAACCCUGUCAACUUGUAGUUAGCUAGUAACUGAACUCUCUUUUGACACCAUUUUUAAAGUUGAUUUCACAUUUUUGUCAAUAUUGCAUUCACGUGUUCAUUUUUGGGUAUUUUUUAAGUAUGUUUCCAUAGCCAGAUAGAUAAAGUUCUCAUAUAGCACCAAUUUAGGCUAUAUCCAUGCAUGUUUUUAGCACAGUUAAAAAAAGAGCAAAUUGAUGUGAUAGGGGUAAAGGCCUACCAAGGGAAAAGUCGACGGAUCAAGUGAGUCAAGUCAACGGGUCAAACAAUGGAAUGAAAUCAAAGGGCCAAUCAAUAAGACCAAGGGAAAAAAGAAAUAAAAUUAAAAGACUAAGUUAUAGAGUCAAAAAAUGAAAAGAAAGUCAACAAGCUAAGUCAAACCUCCACACAAGGACAUAAAAAGUCUAAGGGAUAAGUCCAAAAGUCAAUUUGAUAAGUCAAUUUAAAGAAGUAAGUCAAAAGGCAAAGAUACACGCCAAAGCACCAAAUCAAGCAACAAGUCAGAAGGUACCAAGUCAGAAGAAAAGGAUUCAAAGUUAGAAGUCAGAAGGAGUCCAGUCUAAAGGAACCAAAUCAGAAGGGAACAAUCCAGAAGGUGUCUAAAACAGAAAGGACCAGGUCAGAAGAGAAAAAGUCAGAAGGCCCUAAGUCAGAAGGGAGCAUUCCAAAAGGGGGCUAAGACAGAGGGGUCAAAGUCAGAAGGGGUUCGUCAGAAGGGACCAAAUCAGAAGGGACCAAUCCAGAAGGUGUCUAAAACAGAAGAAACCAGGUCAGAAGUGAAGAAGUCAAAAGGGACCAACCCUUCCCUGAAUAGCAAAGCCGUUCCAAGCAGGUGUGGGCCACAUAGUGAUCCAAGGCCAAAGGGCCAAAAGGAAAGGCAGGAAAGCGGAGAAAAUUGCGUGCAGCAGCAAGAAUUUGCCGCGCGUCGAAGUGAUAAACGCCAACCGCACAUUUUAACAAUUAACCCUGACGCCAAAAUAUGGCAAUAUAUGGCUGUGAAAGGAAAUCUCUUUGAAAUGAUGUAUUGCACAAUUGAGACGCAUCGCACGGGGGAGAAAAUGAGCGUGAUGGAUGACACCACACCACGCAAACUAUAAUGAACCACUGAGUAUAGUUCUUAAAAAUAUUAAAACGAAUAUGAAAGUUAAUCGCCAACGCCUUAAUAUACAUUCCUGAUCUAAAACCGUCUUUUAGAAUGAUUUUACAGCAACGCAGGCCUAACUCAAUGUAAAUUUAUGAUUUUUGUCGUAGAACAGCUUGUGGCUUUAAAAAAGUGUCUUCGAAAUUACAAUCGCGAGACGACUAAUUCAAAAAUCCGUAACACAUAUCUACAUCAUGUAAAGAGCAAAUUUAAUUUUAAGUGGGGCAUCGCUUAUUCAUGAGCAUCGCUUGUGAUAAACGGUAGUAAGGAUGAUGUAAUUCCAUGUAAAGCCAAGCACGGAUGAGCACGUUUUUCUCUUAAACGAACAGCACAUGAAACGUGCUUGCUCCGAGUAUUCGCUAAACCAAUUUAAUUCCCAUUUAAAAACGCUACAUUAUCAAUACAAUAAACAUUGAAUGCGUAGUUUGAAACUACUUUUUAGUACGAGUAAACCAUCUUGCUACUGCAAUGUAACUCGGUUUACUCGAAUUCUCAAGGAAAACAAAAGUAAGUCCGAGUUAACGGGAAGUUGGAAAAAUCCGAGUAAAAAUGACUGAAACUCACUCUCUAAGGAGCUUUGAGUUCAAUUCGAGUUCGUGGGAAGCUCGAGUUAUCGGGGUUCCGCUGAGAAAUAAGAAAUGUAUUACACUCUCGAAGCGAUUGAGCUAAAAGCUAUUCAUAAUAUUCAAGAAAAUGCAAAAGCUAAACGUGAUAUAACGAAACGCGAGAUCGCCCACUUCUUGCGGCGUUUUUUAAAUGUAAUGCGUUUUCUUUAUGACCUUUCGAUUCAUAUUUGUAUGGUUCUAAGCGGUGAGAAUUCUCACGAAUAUGUGACGGAAGGAACCCGUGACAGAUGCCAGGUUGUAAGGCGAAAAACAUAUAUCGCGUCGUUUAAGUUUAUCAUUAUUAUGUUCUAAUUGCGCAAUGGCAGAGCGAAAUUGAAAUGAUAAUGGGGAGUAUACAGUAUAAAUAAGAUA